Molecule: ribosomal RNA, 451 nt
Filed under: uncultured Thauera sp.
Lineage: Bacteria; Pseudomonadati; Pseudomonadota; Betaproteobacteria; Rhodocyclales; Zoogloeaceae
Description: bacterial SSU rRNA
Rfam family: Bacterial small subunit ribosomal RNA
Source: RNAcentral
GCGGUGGAUGAUGUGGAUUAAUUCGAUGCAACGCGAAAACCUUACCUACCCUUGACAUGUCUGGAACCUUGGUGAGAGCCGAGGGUGCCUUCGGGAGCCAGAACACAGGUGCUGCAUGGCUGUCGUCAGCUCGUGUCGUGAGAUGUUGGGUUAAGUCCCGCAACGAGCGCAACCCUUGUCACUAGUUGCCAUCAUUGGUUGGGCACUCUAGUGAGACUGCCGGUGACAAACCGGAGGAAGGUGGGGACGACGUCAAGUCCUCAUGGCCUUUAUGCCCAGGGCUACACACGUGCUACAAUGGAUCGUACAAAGGGUCGCGAACCCGCGAGGGGGGAGCCAAUCCCAAAAACCGGUCCUCAGUUCGGAUUGGAGUCUGCAACUCGACUCCAUGAAGUUGGAAUCGCUAGUAAUCGUGGAUCAGCAUGCCACGGUGAAUACGUUCCCGGGCCUU